RNAcentral lists this ribosomal RNA (253 nucleotides) under uncultured bacterium. RNAcentral's name for it is "partial 16S ribosomal RNA". It matches the Rfam family "Bacterial small subunit ribosomal RNA", at positions 524 to 776 of the family's 1533-position model. The record is from RNAcentral.
UACAGAGGGGGCAAGCGUUGUUCGGAAUUACUGGGCGUAAAGGGCGCGUAGGCGGCCUGCUAAGUCGAACGUGAAAUCCCCGGGCUCAACCCGGGAACUGCGUCCGAUACUGGCAGGCUUGAAUCCGGGAGAGGGAUGCGGAAUUCCAGGUGUAGCGGUGAAAUGCGUAGAUAUCUGGAGGAACACCGGUGGCGAAGGCGGCAUCCUGGACCAAUAUUGACGCUGAGGAGCGAAAGCCAGGGGAGCAAACGGG